UGAAGAGCACUGUUCACCGACAGCGAUGUGAUAGCAAUGGCCCUCAGUUGCUCUCCAAUGCUCCGUUUCUUUUCCGGCCCCAUGAUGCCCACGUAUGAUCAUUGUCAAUGGGUCUGCUUCGAGUACAAACUCCUCACUCCCCAGUUCCUCUUCCAUUUGCACCUCAUCACCUUCCCUCUCAGAAAUCAUCUCAGGUCUACUUCGAACAACCAUUUUAGAAACCUCGAAACCUCGCCUUCCCCUUCUCUCUUAGAAACCUCUUUCUCUAUCUCUCUUCUCGCGAUUCACUCUGUCUCGUCCAACUCUCUCUCUCUUGGCGACUCACUCUGACUUUUUCGGCGAAUUUCCAGACGAAUCUGUGCACGAUGGGGCUCCAGAUCACAACCAAUCGAUUUCUAUUGAACUCAAUUACAUCCUACAAGAAUUUCAUGUGAGUUUUUAUCUCCAUUUUUUGUUGAUUCGGACGAAUUUGGGUUCGUGCAUACGGCGUUUUUUGUUCUUUCUAUUUUUGUUGUGUGAUUAGUGAUUUGUGUUCUUCAUUUUACUAAGAUUUUGGUUUGUGCAGUUUUUAUUUAGAAGUCAUAAUUGUUUCAAUUUAGGUUAAUGCAAGAUUGGGAAUUUGGGAUGAUCAUUUUGAAUUCAAGUUUGUAUGUUCAACUGAUGGUAAUCUAGCGCUCUCAACUUCCAGAUUUGAGAAUUUCGAAUUUGAGUUUUUAUUUUAUUCCUCUUAAUUCAUGUUUAAGAUUUGUGUUUGUGGAGGUGAUUUGAGACGGAUUUCAAGAUGGGUUGUAGAGAUUGAUUCAAAUUGGUGGAUUUGGAUAAGAAACCAGGGAUCCUAUUUGAAAUUUUUUAUCAUUAAAAUAUUUCUUAAGAAUAUUUCUUAAAAAUAAUUUUCUUUAAGACUCAAAAAUUGGAUUGGUUUGUAAUUUAAAAUUUUUAAAUUUUACGAGUUAAAUUAGAUAAAGAGGGGUCGUAAGAGAGGGAGAAAGAGGAGAGAGAAUAAAAGAAAGUAAAAAUGAUUGAAUGAAAGAGAAAGAAGGGAGGAUCGGACGAGAGAGAAAGGAAGAUGAGUGAGAAAGAAUCGAGAGAAUGAAGAAAGUGGAUUAGAGGAGGCAUGAAAAAGGUAAAAAAAAAUAAAAAAAUGAGAGAGAAAGAAGAAAAGAGAGAUAGAUUUAAAGUGAGAGGAGAGGUGAAAGAAAAGAAAUGAGUGAAUUUAAAUUUAAAAACUCUAAAAACUUUUUUUAAUUUUUAUAUUUAUGUUUUUAGAGAAUAUAUUAGGACCUGUUUGGUACUCUACUUAGAUCCAACUUUUUAAACUUAAAAACAAUUUUCAAGUUUUAGGCCUUAAAAACUUGUUUGGUAGGACUAUUUUCAAAACUGAACUCAAGACUAACUUAAAAAUAUAGUCUAUUCUCUAAAAACAUAAAAAGUAAGUUUUUAGAGUUUUUAAACUUAAACUCACUAAUAUCUUUUCUCUCCCUCCUCCCCUCCCACUCCAAAUAUAUCUCUCUCUCUUUUCUUCCUUCUCUUUCCUUUUUUUUUUUACUUUUUUCAUCUCUCAUCUAAUCAGCUAUCUUCAUUCUCUUGGUUCUUUCUCUCAUUCCUCUUCCUUUCUAUCUUAUCCGAGCCUCUCACUUCUUUCUCUUUCCUUCAAUCAUAUCUUACUUUCUUUCCUCAUCUCUCCUCUUUCUCUCUCUCUUGCGAUCCUUCUUUUUAGAUCUCUUUGUCUAGUUUAAGUCGUAAGAUUUAAAAUUUUUAAAUCGCAAACCAAUCACCUUUUUGAAUCUUAAAGAAAAUUGUUUUCAAGAAAUAUUCUUAAGAAAUGUUUUGAGA
Molecule: long non-coding RNA, 1833 nt
Filed under: Malus domestica (apple)
Lineage: Eukaryota; Viridiplantae; Streptophyta; Magnoliopsida; Rosales; Rosaceae
Description: long non-coding RNA (MDOM_LNC012435)
Source: RNAcentral